Molecule: ribosomal RNA, 614 nt
Filed under: uncultured Gammaproteobacteria bacterium
Lineage: Bacteria; Pseudomonadati; Pseudomonadota; Gammaproteobacteria
Description: bacterial SSU rRNA
Rfam family: Bacterial small subunit ribosomal RNA
Source: RNAcentral
UUGAUCCUGGCUCAGAUUGAACGCUGGCGGAAUGCUUUACACAUGCAAGUCGAGCGGCAGCGCGGGGCAACCUGGCGGCGAGCGGCGAACGGGUGAGUAACACAUCGGAACGUACCCUGUUGUGGGGGAUACCCGGCGAAAGCCGGAUUAAUACCGCAUAAGACCUGAGGGUGAAAGCGGGGGACCGCAAGGCCUCGCGCGACAGGAGCGGCCGAUGGCGGAUUAGCUAGUUGGUGGGGUAAAGGCUCACCAAGGCGACGAUCCGUAGCUGGUCUGAGAGGAUGAUCAGCCACACUGGAACUGAGACACGGUCCAGACUCCUACGGGAGGCAGCAGUGGGGAAUUUUGGACAAUGGGGGCAACCCUGAUCCAGCCAUUCCGCGUGAGUGAAGAAGGCCUUCGGGUUGUAAAGCUCUUUCGGCAGGAACGAAACGGUGGGCUCUAACAUAGUCUGCUAAUGACGGUACCUGAAGAAGAAGCACCGGCUAACUACGUGCCAGCAGCCGCGGUAAUACGUAGGGUGCGAGCGUUAAUCGGAAUUACUGGGCGUAAAGCGUGCGCAGGCGGUUUCGUAAGACAGAUGUGAAAUCCCCGGGGCUUAACCUGGGAACUGC